RNAcentral lists this long non-coding RNA (614 nucleotides) under Rattus norvegicus (Norway rat). RNAcentral describes it as "long non-coding RNA NONRATT022627". The record is from RNAcentral. Lineage: Eukaryota; Metazoa; Chordata; Mammalia; Rodentia; Muridae.
CUGCGGGGCUCCAGGGACAUUUCCCCAUCCAUGCUGGACUUGAGAGGAAUAAGAAGUUUAGAAAAUAAAGUGAAACCCAGAGUUGUCACACGUGCCCACCACAUGGCUGCUAAGUGCAACAACAUACACCCAUCAGGUUGGACUGUGUGCACAGGAAGUCAAUUCAUUUUUCCUUAUUGCUAUGACACCAGAGGACUCAGUGCAUUCAGACACAUUGUCUUUACUUACAGAAUUCUUGGAGAGUUUCUGAUUUCCCUUUUUAAGGAAGGGAAUCACCUUCCUCACAUUACUGUUUUGAGCCCAUUCUUUCCAUUCCCUUUCCUGGGCUAUCGUACAGCAGCCAGAGGUUCUAAGUCAGUAGGAGCAGAGUAAGGGGAGAGCACCAACCCAGCCUCUCUCGUGGCUCAGGGAGAAGGCAAGUCCUAGUAAGUGGGGAGAAAGAGAAAACCAGAGAAUCCCCCUUUCCCAGUCUGCUUAGAAGGCUAAGUAUUAGAGUGCCUUGCAUAUCCCUGCCAUAAUCCCUGCCCAAGGAAGGCAUAAUUAACUACCAUCCUGGGUUAUCUAAAGCCCAGUAAAACAAAACAAAACAAAAAAACAAAAAAAAAAAACAAAAA